This 1748-nucleotide long non-coding RNA is filed under the name Rattus norvegicus (Norway rat). Its description in RNAcentral is "long non-coding RNA NONRATT022276". The record is from RNAcentral. Lineage: Eukaryota; Metazoa; Chordata; Mammalia; Rodentia; Muridae.
GGAUCUCAGUUCAUAGUCAGAUAUCAAACCCCUGUAUUGUCUGACUGAACAAAGGAGUAGAAAUCUAUCUGGCAGGCCUCUAUGUACCCCGAAGGCUAGAACAAACCUUCCAGAGCUACAAAUGGAGAGGGACUACUAUAAGUUUGUAUAACGGGUAGAGAAAAGGCCUCACAGUUUGUAACUUGAUUGGUUCACUUGUAAUAGAAGCCUGUGGCUUAAAGGGAAAUUUCUGACUUUGUCUCUGAACUUACCUAUACAUCCUGCUGGUUAGGAAUAACAUUUGUGCUAGCUGUUGCUGGAGAAACGGAUUUUGAAUCCAGAGGUAAAAGUAAUCUGUGAAAAGAUUUGGAGAAUAUGUGCAGAGAUAGAAGAGAUUCCACGAAUACUCUAUCAGCCUCUAAAUCUUGUGAUGACCCUCUUCGUUUACUGUGGGGUUGUCAGACCAGGGCCUUCUUUGACCCAGAAAUUGUAUUAGAAAUAGAGAGAGAGGUGUGGCCCGAGGUUUUAAGUCAGGGACGACUUACCACUCUCCCUGGCCUUUGGGUCCUAGUACUUGGCUUAGAACUUCUUGAAUUUUAAUUUUCAAAGAUGAUCGUAUGAACAAAGCUGGCUCUUUUACUGUGUCACUCUGUUGGUAUGCUUCAUUGAUGCUUCCUGGUCCCUCCCAUCCUCUAUUGGUGUUAAGUAAUUAGAAGACAUUUCAGUUUACCUCAGAAUAUUCAGAACCACUAAACACACGUCUACUAACUCUUGCAUCUAAUCAAGUCAGUCUGUUCGGUUGUUAGCUGGUUGGAUAACCAGACACAAGGGAGAACUCCACAACUGAGAAACAGGGAAGAGCAUGGGACCAUCUAACAAAGGGACAGAGGGUCUGGAAAACAACCAAAGACUAAAAGCCUGUGUUUUGCAGAUCAGUUAUCUGUACUGUCUGGCCCAGCCCCCCAUAACUUGAGUUUAGGCUAGAACUAGUUCUGAAGACCGGCGGAUACACUAGGGACCUGCUCUCACUGUCUCAGGCGGUCUACACAGCCCAUGUCCAGCCUAGCCAUUGUCCUGGGUGGUGAGACCAUAAACAGAGCAUUCUAAUGCCUUCCUGUCCUUUUGGUUUAUUGUUAUUGUUGGUUUGUUUGUUUGUUUGUUUGUUUUUGCAUUUGUACCUAUUUGCAGAGUGUUGAAAUAAGUUGUUUAUGUCACAUCUUAUCUCUUUUCAUUAAAAAUAGAGGAACACAAUUAAGCCUUCCAUAGUUUGGGGGUCAUCUGCCUUCCUGUUAUUUUGGAUUCUUUCUUGUUACGGUGUCAUUACACUAUGCAUGUGAGGAAACAAACAUGUAGGUGCUUGAACAUGCCCCACAGAUGCACUUGUAGCCCUGGUGUUUGUGACUGUCGUGACUAACACAGUGCAGACUUUACACACAGAGCGCUACACUCUGGCAGGACUUAAGAACUAUGUAUAUUAAGGAAUUCUCUUUCUGGAGCAAUCAACUCUUGCAGGCAGAUGAACUGCCUGGAGCUCUGAAUGGGAUGGCUUUCCAUCUGGCGUCAAAGUUCAGUGAGCUUAUAUGAAAUGAAGCUUUGAAAUGUUUUACCUGUGCAGAAAUAUGAAUUAGAAACAAAAAAGUGCUGGUCUAAUGCUAAGUUUUUUUCCUCUGUGUACGGACUCAGUUGCCAGAAUUAUAAUGAAAACUGUAUUUUAGUCUAACAAAUGUAUAGAAUUUUUUAAUGUAAUAAAUAAAAUUUUAUAGGAAAGC